RNAcentral lists this unclassified non-coding RNA (329 nucleotides) under soil metagenome. RNAcentral's name for it is "partial contains 5.8S ribosomal RNA, internal transcribed spacer 2, and large subunit ribosomal RNA". The stretch from base 1 to 120 matches the Rfam family "5.8S ribosomal RNA", at positions 35 to 154 of the family's 154-position model. The record is from RNAcentral.
GAUGAAGAACGCAGCGAAAUGCGAUAAGUAAUGCGAAUUGCAGACUUCAGUGAAUCAUCGAAUCUUUGAACGCACAUUGCGCCCCCUGGUAUUCCGGGGGGCAUGCCUGUCCGAGCGUCAUUACAACCCUCAAGCUCAGCUUGGUAUUGGGCCCCGCCGACCCGGCGGGCCCUAAAGUCAGUGGCGGUGCCGUCCGGCUCCGAGCGUAGUAAUUCUUCUCGCUCUGGAGGUCCGGUCGUGUGCUCGCCAGCAACCCCCAAUUUUUUUCAGGUUGACCUCGGAUCAGGUAGGGAUACCCGCUGAACUUAAGCAUAUCAAUAAGCGGAGGA